UGAAACAGGCAAUGGCAAUGUUAUGGGCUGGAUUUUGUCCCCUCAAAUUCUUAUGCUGAAGUCCUAACCCUCUAGUACCUCAGAAUGUGACUAGAGAUAAGGUCUUCAAAGAGGUAAUUAAGUUAAAAAGAGUUCAUUAGGAUGGGCGCUAAUCCAAUCUGACAGGUGACCUCACAAGAAAAGGAGAUUAGGGUACAGAUACACACACAGGGAAGAAUGCAUGAAGUCCCUGGGAUAAGGCAGCCAUUUACAAGCCAAGGGAAAGGCCUCAGAAGAAACCAGUCUUGCCGACAGCAUGAUCUCUCAUCCUCAGAACUGGGAGGAAAUACAUCUGUGUUGUUUCAGCCACUCAGUUGGUGAUCUCUAUUACAGCAGUCCUUAGCAAACCGAUUUAGACAGGGCUUUGGAUGCCAACCAGAAGAAGCUGUAGGAAUUGGCACAGAUCCAGAGCAUGGACAAGGACUUACACUUCUGCUGAAGGCAAAGGAGAAACAGCAUUAUCUAAAAAGCAACCAAGACUUCAGGGGAUGAGAACCCACUAACUAUUACAGUCCACGUGUCAGUCGCGUUUCUCAUCGUGAUUAACACCCCAGCCAUUGAUUUGCUCUUCAGUGUCUAGUGAGCAAGGCUACUGUGAAUCUUUCCUCAGGAGGACUGAUGGAGUCACAUUUCUGAGCCUACAGAGCUGAGGGCAAGACCUGAGAAUGGUGAUGUCAAAAUGCCAACCAGCGAGACCUCUUGGUGGCCAGAAGAGAGACAUCUUGGCAAGAAAUUCCAGGUGAGAAAGGAAACCUGUCUGCAAACAGUGAAAAAUUUGAAAAGGGCUGGGGAUGGAGGAGUGAACACAAUGGGAUAAACAAACCGAAAAAAACACCCCAUUAUGUCGGAAUAAAAGAAACCUGUGAGGUGUUCAAACAGCAUUACUAAGCCAAUUCUGGUCAUCCAAAUAAGAGAAAUCAGAAAUGCAAUUACUCCAACCCUGAAGAGUAAAUACAUAAAAUAAGAAGCCGAAGCAAAAGCAAUCAGAAUAAAGACUGAAAUUCAUCAAAGCCCCU
Homo sapiens (human) is the source of this 1055-nucleotide long non-coding RNA. Ensembl annotates it as long intergenic non-protein coding RNA 575. NCBI's taxonomy places the organism in Eukaryota, Metazoa, Chordata, Mammalia, Primates, Hominidae. The record is from Ensembl.